UUAAGCGACUAAGCGUACACGGUGGAUGCCCUGGCAGUCAGAGGCGAUGAAGGACGUGCUAAUCUGCGAAAAGCGUCGGUAAGGUGAUAUGAACCGUUAUAACCGGCGAUGUCCGAAUGGGGAAACCCAGUGCAAUUCGUUGCACUAUCGUUAACUGAAUACAUAGGUUAACGAGGCGAACCGGGGGAACUGAAACAUCUAAGUACCCCGAGGAAAAGAAAUCAACCGAGAUUCCCCCAGUAGCGGCGAGCGAACGGGGAGCAGCCCAGAGUCUGAAUCAGCUUGUGUGUUAGUGGAACGGUCUGGAAAGUCCGACGGUACAGGGUGAUAGUCCCGUACACCAAAAUGCACAGGCUGUGAACUCGAAGAGUAGGGCGGGACACGUGGUAUCCUGUCUGAAUAUGGGGGGACCAUCCUCCAAGGCUAAAUACUCCUGACUGACCGAUAGUGAACCAGUACCGUGAGGGAAAGGCGAAAAGAACCCCGGCGAGGGGAGUGAAAAAGAACCUGAAACCGUGUACGUACAAGCAGUGGGAGCACCUUCGGGUGUGACUGCGUACCUUUUGUAUAAUGGGUCAGCGACUUAUAUUCUGUAGCAAGGUUAACCGUAUAGGGGAGCCGCAGGGAAACCGAGUCUUAACUGGGCGUUAAGUUGCAGGGUAUAGACCCGAAACCCGGUGAUCUAGCCAUGGGCAGGUUGAAGGUUGGGUAACACUAACUGGAGGACCGAACCGACUAAUGUUGAAAAAUUAGCGGAUGACUUGUGGCUGGGGGUGAAAGGCCAAUCAAACCGGGAGAUAGCUGGUUCUCCCCGAAAGCUAUUUAGGUAGCGCCUCGUGAACUCAUCUUCGGGGGUAGAGCACUGUUUCGGCUAGGGGGUCAUCCCGACUUACCAACCCGAUGCAAACUACGAAUACCGAAGAAUGUUAUCACGGGAGACACACGGCGGGUGCUAACGUCCGUCGUGAAGAGGGAAACAACCCAGACCGCCAGCUAAGGUCCCAAAGUCAUGGUUAAGUGGGAAACGAUGUGGGAAGGCACAGACAGCCAGGAUGUUGGCUUAGAAGCAGCCAUCAUUUAAAGAAAGCGUAAUAGCUCACUGGUCGAGUCGGCCUGCGCGGAAGAUGUAACGGGGCUAAACCAUGCACCGAAGCUGCGGCAGCGACACUAUGUGUUGUUGGGUAGGGGAGCGUUCUGUAAGCCUGCGAAGGUGNNNNNNNNNNNNNNNNNNNNNNNNNNNNNNNNNNNNNNNNNNNNNNNNNNNNNNNNNNNNNNNNNNNNNNNNNNNNNNNNNNNNNNNNNNNNNNNNNNNNNNNNNNNNNNNNNNNNNNNNNNUGGAGCUGAGACCAGUCGAAGAUACCAGCUGGCUGCAACUGUUUAUUAAAAACACAGCACUGUGCAAACACGAAAGUGGACGUAUACGGUGUGACGCCUGCCCGGUGCCGGAAGGUUAAUUGAUGGGGUUAUCCGUAAGGAGAAGCUCUUGAUCGAAGCCCCGGUAAACGGCGGCCGUAACUAUAACGGUCCUAAGGUAGCGAAAUUCCUUGUCGGGUAAGUUCCGACCUGCACGAAUGGCGUAAUGAUGGCCAGGCUGUCUCCACCCGAGACUCAGUGAAAUUGAACUCGCUGUGAAGAUGCAGUGUACCCGCGGCAAGACGGAAAGACCCCGUGAACCUUUACUAUAGCUUGACACUGAACAUUGAGCCUUGAUGUGUAGGAUAGGUGGGAGGCUUUGAAGCGUGGACGCCAGUCUGCGUGGAGCCAACCUUGAAAUACCACCCUUUAAUGUUUGAUGUUCUAACGUUGGCCCCUGACCGGGGUUGCGGACAGUGUCUGGUGGGUAGUUUGACUGGGGCGGUCUCCUCCCAAAGCGUAACGGAGGAGCACGAAGGUUAGCUAAUCCUGGUCGGACAUCAGGAGGUUAGUGCAAUGGCAUAAGCUAGCUUGACUGCGAGCGUGACGGCGCGAGCAGGUGCGAAAGCAGGUCAUAGUGAUCCGGUGGUUCUGAAUGGAAGGGCCAUCGCUCAACGGAUAAAAGGUACUCCGGGGAUAACAGGCUGAUACCGCCCAAGAGUUCAUAUCGACGGCGGUGUUUGGCACCUCGAUGUCGGCUCAUCACAUCCUGGGGCUGAAGUAGGUCCCAAGGGUAUGGCUGUUCGCCAUUUAAAGUGGUACGCGAGCUGGGUUUAGAACGUCGUGAGACAGUUCGGUCCCUAUCUGCCGUGGGCGCUGGAGAAUUGAGGGGGGCUGCUCCUAGUACGAGAGGACCGGAGUGGACGCAUCACUGGUGUUCGGGUUGUCAUGCCAAUGGCACUGCCCGGUAGCUAAAUGCGGAAGAGAUAAGUGCUGAAAGCAUCUAAGCACGAAACUUGCCCCGAGAUGAGUUCUCCCUGAGACUUUAAGUCUCCUGAAGGAACGUUAAAGACGAUGACGUUGAUAGGCCGGGUGUGUAAGCGCAGCGAUGCGUUGAGCUAACCGGUACUAAUGAACCGUGAGGCUUAACCUU
RNAcentral lists this ribosomal RNA (2506 nucleotides) under Klebsiella pneumoniae. RNAcentral's name for it is "23S ribosomal RNA". It matches the Rfam family "Bacterial large subunit ribosomal RNA". The record is from RNAcentral. Lineage: Bacteria; Pseudomonadati; Pseudomonadota; Gammaproteobacteria; Enterobacterales; Enterobacteriaceae.